Molecule: ribosomal RNA, 402 nt
Filed under: Bacteroidota bacterium
Lineage: Bacteria; Pseudomonadati; Bacteroidota
Description: Bacteroidetes bacterium partial 16S ribosomal RNA
Rfam family: Bacterial small subunit ribosomal RNA
Source: RNAcentral
UGGGGAAUUUUGCACAAUGGGGGAAACCCUGAUGCAGCGGCGCCGCGUGAUUUAGAAGGCCUUCGGGUUGUAAAAAUCUUUUCUAUGGGAAGAAAAUGACAGUACCAUAGGAAUAAGGACCGGCUAAUUACGUGCCAGCAGCCGCGGUAAUACGUAAGGUCCGAGCGUUGUCCGGAAUCAUUGGGCGUAAAGGGUACGUAGGCGGGUAAGCAAGUUAGAAGUGAAAUCCUGUAGCUCAACUACAGUAAGCUUUUAAAACUGCUCAUCUUGAGAUAUGGAAGGGAAAGUGGAAUUCCUAGUGUAACGGUGAAAUGCGCAGAUAUUAGGAGGAAUACCGGUGGCGAAGGCGACUUUCUGGCCAUAAUCUGACGCUGGGGUACGAAAGCGUGGGUAGCAAACAGG